GAUGAACGCUGGCGGCGUGCCUAAUACAUGCAAGUCGAGCGGACGGACGAGAAGCUUGCUUCUCUGAUGUUAGCGGCGGACGGGUGAGUAACACGUGGAUAACCUACCUAUAAGACUGUGAUAACUUCGGGAAACCGGAGCUAAUACCGGAUAAUAUUUUGAACCGCAUGGUUCAAAAGUGAAAGACGGUCUUGCUUUCACUUAUAGAUGGAUCCGCGCUGCAUUAGCUAGUUGGUAAGGUAACGGCUUACCAAGGCAACGAUGCAUAGCCGACCUGAGAGGGUGAUCGGCCACACUGGGACUGAGACACGGUCCAGACUCCUACGGGAGGCAGCAGUAGGGAAUCUUCCGCAAUGGGCGAAAGCCUGACGGAGCAACGCCGCGUGAGUGAUGAAGGUCUUCGGAUCGUAAAACUCUGUUAUUAGGGAAGAACAUAUGUGUAAGUAACUGUGCACAUCUUGACGGUACCUAAUCAGAAAGCCACGGCUAACUACGUG
This 497-nucleotide ribosomal RNA is filed under the name uncultured bacterium. RNAcentral's name for it is "partial 16S ribosomal RNA". It matches the Rfam family "Bacterial small subunit ribosomal RNA", at positions 28 to 507 of the family's 1533-position model. The record is from RNAcentral.